RNAcentral lists this ribosomal RNA (315 nucleotides) under uncultured archaeon. Its description in RNAcentral is "bacterial SSU rRNA". It matches the Rfam family "Archaeal small subunit ribosomal RNA", at positions 1029 to 1343 of the family's 1478-position model. The record is from RNAcentral. RNAcentral also lists the same sequence under 1 other name.
UUUAGUCAGGCAACGAGCGAGACCCACGCCAACAGUUGCCAGCUCGUCCUCCGGGAUGGUGGGGACACUGUUGGGACCGCCUCUGCUAAAGAGGAGGAAGGAAUGGGCAACGGUAGGUCAGCAUGCCCCGAAUUAUCCGGGCUACACGCGGGCUACAAUGGGUGGGACAAUGGGUAUCGACACCGAAAGGUGAAGGCAAUCUCCUAAACCCAUCCUUAGUUCGGAUUGUGGGCUGCAACUCGCCCACAUGAAGCUGGAAUCUGUAGUAAUCGUGUCUCAACAUGGCACGGUGAAUAUGUCCCUGCUCCUUGCACA